AUGGCUUAUGCCUGCACCAUCGACCGACCAUGAUCUUCUGUGAAAGGUUUGAGUACGAGCAUACCUGUUGGGACCCGAAAGAUGGUGAACUAUGCCUGAGCAGGGCGAAGCCAGAGGAAACUCUGGUGGAGGCUCGUAGAUGUGCUGACGUGCAAAUCGCUUUUCGGACUUGGGUAUAGGGGCGAAAGACUACUAGUAGCUGGUUCCCUCCGAAGUUUCCCCCAGGAUAGCUGGAGCUUGAUCAGUUUUAUCGGGUAAAGCGAAUGAUUAGAGGUACCGGGGAUGAAACAUCCUCGACCUAUUCUCAAACUUUAAAUAGGUAAGACGUCUGGGUUGCUCAAUUGAACCCAGGCAUUCAAUGAGAGCUCCAAGUGGGCCAUUUUGGUAAGCAGA
This 393-nucleotide ribosomal RNA is filed under the name Trebouxia decolorans. RNAcentral's name for it is "eukaryotic LSU rRNA". It matches the Rfam family "Eukaryotic large subunit ribosomal RNA", at positions 740 to 1148 of the family's 3401-position model. The record is from RNAcentral. Lineage: Eukaryota; Viridiplantae; Chlorophyta; Trebouxiophyceae; Trebouxiales; Trebouxiaceae.